This is a long non-coding RNA of Oncorhynchus tshawytscha (Chinook salmon), 463 nucleotides long. NCBI's taxonomy places the organism in Eukaryota, Metazoa, Chordata, Actinopteri, Salmoniformes, Salmonidae. The record is from Ensembl.
GUGCACUGCUUAGGCACCCUAUUCCCUAUAUACAGUAUAGUGCACUACUUAGGCACCCUAUUCCCUAUAUACAGUAUAGUGCACUACUUAGGCACCCUAUUCCAUAUAUACAGUAUAGUGCACUGCUUAGGCACCCUAUUCCCCAUAUACAGUAUAGUGCACUACUUAGGCACCCUAUUCCAUAUAUACAGUACACUACUUAGGCACCCUAUUCCCUAUAUACAGUGCACUACUUAGGCACCCUAUUCCCUAUAUACAGUAUAGUGCACUACUUAGGCACCCUAUUCCCUAUAUACAGUAUAGUGCACUACUUAGGCACCCUAUUCCCUAUAUAAAGUAUAGUACACUGCUUAGGCACCCUAUUCACUAUAUACAGUAUAGUGCACUACUUAGGCACCCUAUUCCCUAUAUACAGUAUAGUACACUGCUUAGGCACCCUAUUCCCCAUAUACAGUAUAGUGCA